RNAcentral lists this ribosomal RNA (253 nucleotides) under uncultured bacterium. Its description in RNAcentral is "partial 16S ribosomal RNA". It matches the Rfam family "Bacterial small subunit ribosomal RNA", at positions 524 to 776 of the family's 1533-position model. The record is from RNAcentral.
UAUGUAGGUGGCAAGCGUUGUCCGGAUUUACUGGGUGUAAAGGGCGUGCAGCCGGAGAGACAAGUCAGAUGUGAAAUCCACGGGCUCAACUCGUGAACUGCAUUUGAAACUGUUUCCCUUGAGUGUCGGAGGGGUAAUCGGAAUUCCUUGUGUAGCGGUGAAAUGCGUAGAUAUAAGGAAGAACACCAGUGGCGAAGGCGGAUUACUGGACGAUAACUGACGGUGAGGCGCGAAAGCGUGGGGAGCAAACAGG